RNAcentral lists this ribosomal RNA (209 nucleotides) under Ogataea methanolica. Its description in RNAcentral is "partial large subunit ribosomal RNA". Lineage: Eukaryota; Fungi; Ascomycota; Pichiomycetes; Pichiales; Pichiaceae. The record is from RNAcentral.
AAGGGUAUUAGAUCAGACUUGGUAUUUAGUUAUCAUUGCUCCUUGUGGGUGGUGCUCUAGCUUUCUACUGGGCCAGCAUCAGUUUUGGUGGCAAGAUAAUGACAAUUUGAACGUGGCUCUUCGGAGUGUUAUAGCUUUUGUUGAUGUUGCCUACUGGGACUGAGGUCUGCGGCUUUUGCCUAGGAUGCUGGCGUAAUGAUCCAAUACCG